AGGUGGCGAGCGUUGUCCGGAAUUACUGGGUGUAAAGGGAGUGUAGGCGGGAAAGCAAGUCAGAAGUGAAAACUAUGGGCUCAACCCAUAGCCUGCUUUUGAAACUGUUUUUCUUGAGUGAAGUAGAGGCAAGCGGGAUUCCUAGUGUAGCGGUGAAAUGCGUAGAUAUUAGGAGGAACACCAGUGGCGAAGGCGGCUUGCUGGGCUUUUACUGACGCUGAGGCUCGAAAGCGUGGGGAGCAAACAGGAUUAGAUACCCUGGUAGUCCACGCCGUAAACGAUGAUAACUAGGUGUGGGGAGCGAACCUUUCCGUGCCGGAGUAAACACAAUAAGUUAUCCACCUGGGGAGUACGGCCGCAAGGCUG
Molecule: ribosomal RNA, 366 nt
Filed under: uncultured Eubacteriales bacterium
Lineage: Bacteria; Bacillati; Bacillota; Clostridia; Eubacteriales
Description: bacterial SSU rRNA
Rfam family: Bacterial small subunit ribosomal RNA
Source: RNAcentral